This 450-nucleotide ribosomal RNA is filed under the name uncultured bacterium. RNAcentral's name for it is "bacterial SSU rRNA". It matches the Rfam family "Bacterial small subunit ribosomal RNA", at positions 354 to 796 of the family's 1533-position model. The record is from RNAcentral.
GUGGGGAAUUUUGGACAAUGGGGGCAACCCUGAUCCAGCCAUUCCGCGUGAGUGAAGAAGGCCUUCGGGUUGUAAAGCUCUUUCGGCAGGAACGAAACGGCGGGCUCUAACAUAGCCUGUCAAUGACGGUACCUGAAGAAGAAGCACCGGCUAACUACGUGCCAGCAGCCGCGGUAAUACGUAGGGUGCGAGCGUUAAUCGGAAUUACUGGGCGUAAAGCGUGCGCAGGCGGCUUUGUAAGACAGGUGUGAAAUCCCCGGGCUUAACCUGGGAACUGCGCUUGUGACUGCAAGGCUCGAGUGCGGCAGAGGGGGGUGGAAUUCCACGUGUAGCAGUGAAAUGCGUAGAGAUGUGGAGGAACACCGAUGGCGAAGGCAGCCCCCUGGGUCGACACUGACGCUCAUGCACGAAAGCGUGGGUAGCAAACAGGAUUAGAAACCCCAGUAGUCC